CCAAGUUACCACAUCUUCCCAAAUCAGGUCUCUGUUAAACACUCAUGUGCAGGACCAAUCUGCAAGGAGUCAAAACUCUGGAACCAGCCAGAAACACGAAUAAUGAACACGGACUCUCCAGGUCUUCCUGGUGGAUAUCCUGGCAGCUAAAUCUUACAGUCUGGUAGCUUCAGGUAGACUUCCUUCUUUUUUCAUCACACAUGAAAAAAUCAUUCUGCUAUGCUUGAACGACUUGGAGACUCAAAGAGAGAGAAAAACGUACCGCUUGGACUGUACUGCCUAUAUGGACCAAAGGGACGUUUCAGGGUGAAUUGUAUUAUCUAGAUUGUCUCCUGCUUUUCGUCUGUAAAAAGAAUCUUUGCUGUAGAAGGUCUGUUUGCCAGUAUUUCUACAAAGGAUACUACUGGGAAUACUGAGAAUACUGUUUCUAGAAUAAUUUUGCAGGAUACGUGUGGCAGAGACUGCAGGGAAAAUCAGACGCAUUCAGGGACUGCAUGACGUUCCUGACAUUAAGUAAGAGACGUGGUAAAUCAGGACUGCACAUUAAUAAACUACCUUAUUAGCAUAAAUCAAGGUUUGAUUGGAAAAGCAGGGGGAAAGGACCUUUAAAUAAUCCUGAAGAUGUUGUUCAGAGUUUCUGUGUGAGUUGGCUUCAAAAAUCUGGAUUUCAGCAUUUUAUUAAGCUUUUAACUGUGUACAAACGGGGAAUUCUCAUCAAAAGAGCCUUUCUCACUUUUCAUAAAUGGAAAACAAGCUCCUAAUAUUUACGCAGACUUUGCAUAAAUCCAUAAAUCAUCCAUUCAUAUGGCACAGGAAAACACACACAGACGCAGACACACACUCAAAAACACGAAAUAAAACCUCCUAUGUACCUAAGGAUCCGGACCUGAAUUCGGGUCCUGAAACGGUUUCGUCUUGCGAGUCGAUCUCUGCCAAAGUCAUAAACCCGAUAGCGAUAUGGUUCCAGUCUGACGAUCCAGCGGGUUCUACCAUCAAGCAAAGUGUCUUCAGCUCCAGCUGACCCCGAGCUACACUGGCGACACGGAUGAGACCGGAAGGUUCCAGAAUGCCAAGACAGGAUUCCAGGUGACAUUUUGACACGCUGUUUACAACACAAAACAGCUCGCUAGUGAUGCUAAAAAGAGCUGACCUAUUCAGCAGAGGCUAAUAUGCAGGGGGGGUCGGGGGAGGUCAGUCUGGAUCAGGCCGCUGCUUAAAUGCUUUAUAGACGGUUUUGGUCUCUCCCCCCCCCCCAGACACUGCAAACAAGGAAGCAUGCCAUGGAAACAUCUGCUUCCGAUGAUACACAGUGGAAAAUAAGUCAGAACACGUACUUUGUUCAUAAAGCACAGUUCUGAUGCUGCUGUAUGAACUUGCACAAUCAGAACUGCACGCAGCCAGCCUGUCUGCGCAUAGCCAGCUUGUCUGCGCAGUGAGAAACUCAUUUGACAUUAUGGCUCGUCAAUCAAUCGUUGUUAAAGCAUAAAAAUGCAAAAACCCUUUUGUUGCUAUGGCUCACAGGUGGCUCUGUCUCCUUGACAUCACUGGCAGGACCCACAAAUAACGCAUGCGUUAACCAUUUACUCUCUGGCUCUUAGCGCUGUUUGGCUAGACCAGGGGUGGCGAACGGAACAUGAUCCAUGGAGAGCCAGUGCGGGUUUUUGGGAUGACCUCUCAAUCAGCCAAUAACAGUGGGUCCCCCAGACUAGAGUCGAGAACAACUGUUUUAUUAUUGGCUGAUUGAGUCGUCAUCCCAAAAUACCGCACCAGCUCUCCAUGGAUCAGGUUCGCCACCCCUGGGCUAGAUGGUGUCUAAAGCCUUCCCACCAAAGACUAAUAAUGCUUGCUGAGCUCAGAUUGGGUGCAAUUGUUCACUGGCAGAACACUUAGGGUUGAUCUGUUAAUUAGGGUAAAAGGCUCCCAGGUUGGGCUUUGAUAUGUUUUUAUUAGGGGAAAGAUGUAUCAAUAUUAGUUAUUCAUCUACAUGGCAAUGGUGGUCCAUAAACUCUGUCUCCGCUGGUGCCCCAUCCAAUCAGAAUGCCUCUUUUCCUCAUGUGGGUUCCUGGUGUUGCCAUUGUGAGAUCAUCAGUGAUCACAUGACUUGGUUUUUUAUAAUCAAAGGGGGUGACACUGGAGCUAGCUGGGUAUCUGUCCCUUAUUUCACCCCUUGUAGAAUUUUAGAAAUUCCAUGACAUUUGAAUUCCAUCAUCGUCUUUGCACAAUAAGGUUUGGAUAUUGCAGGAAGACAAGAUUUAAGUGUAAGGUGUCUAUGUGCCACAUCCUCUCUGGAGCCCACGCCGGCUUACACCGGCGCUCGCUCCCGUCACUUUCGCACCGAGCAGAGGCUUGUAAACCAACGGAAGACCCCAAACACAGGGGGGCAUCACUGAAGAUAAUUCAAAGGUAGGUGGUAGCUAACCUUUCAUGCAGUCAUACCGUCCACCCCUGGGCUAAUUUUCUCCGCAAGAAUGAAAAAUACCCAAAACACUGCAAAAUAUCCGAAAAACUGCGGUAUUCCCUGUUACCGUAACACUGCCCAAGCCUACCCAAAGGGUCAUGCCAGACCGAUUCCCAUUAGCGGUCACAGUUAGCAUUGCUAGCCCGCCAAAGGAAGCACAGAUGACGAUGUUAGCAUUAUUACACCUGCCUAAAGAAUGGAGGAUCACAACAGCGUAGAAAUUACACAAAACCACCACAGACUAUACUCUGCUGGUGUUAAGGAGUUAAUAACGUCAGUGGGGGAAAUGGCCCUGAUGUGGCUCUACAUUCACCUCCAAGUCGGGUUCCAGGAGCAUUUCUGCGGCCGACAGCGGCUUCUGAAUGAAGCCCAUAAUAAUCAGAUGGGAGGAAGGACUGGCAGAGUGUUAUUUCUACCAAUAGUGAAUUUUGUAUAAUAACCAGUCUUAGCGCAGAGGAAAUCUGAUUAGCAAUUCCCCGGUAUGGGUAUUAUCAUGCUAAUCUGGAUAUAUAAAAGAUCUCUGUUGAAUACAGAAUACAAUACUGGUGGGCAAAUCAGGAUCCAGUUAACUCAAUAAAGGCAGUAAAGCAGGCUCUGUCAAGCAGACAUUUUGUUUUCAGCAACAUAUAUAUAUAUAUAUAUAUAUAUAUAUACACACACACACACACACACACAUAUAUACAAAAGGAUAAUUAACCCCUGCCCUUGUGAAAUGUCUUUGGAUGUAUGUCUCUCCUCUAAUCCAGUGUUUCGCAAACUGCUUUUCAGGGACCCUGAGACAGCCCAUGUUUUUGCUCCCUCCCAGCUCCCUACCGGAAGCAAAAAAACAUGGACUGUCUGCAGGUCCCCAAGGAUCAGAUUGGGAAACACUACUCUAAUCCAUAUAUUGAUCCUUGGUUUUGUUUCUUGCAGUGAGCUGGACAGGUUCAACGAUGGCACCGAGCGUUCCAUGAAACUUAACACCAUUCUACUGAUGAACCUAUUCAUCGUCCCUGCAAACAGCUCGUGUGUCAAGAUGGACCAGUUCCCAAGGCGAUGCCUCCUGACUGGACUCAAUUCUUCAGAAAUACAUCUAAAAAUCAGUAAAAUCACGAGUUGGUUUAUAUGAAAGUGUAUUAAAGGGUAAUAAAAAUAGAAAGCAUGUGUACUGGCAGGCUACAGGUUUGCCACAGAGCUACUAUCAGAAGUGAAGUAGUGACAAAAUACAAGCUCCAGAAAACAGC
Paramormyrops kingsleyae is the source of this 3681-nucleotide long non-coding RNA. RefSeq lists it as uncharacterized. The record is from RefSeq and is a predicted model, not a curated record. Lineage: Eukaryota; Metazoa; Chordata; Actinopteri; Osteoglossiformes; Mormyridae.